RNAcentral lists this ribosomal RNA (507 nucleotides) under uncultured Glomeromycotina. RNAcentral's name for it is "partial small subunit ribosomal RNA". It matches the Rfam family "Eukaryotic small subunit ribosomal RNA", at positions 591 to 1092 of the family's 1831-position model. The record is from RNAcentral. Lineage: Eukaryota; Fungi; Glomeromycota.
CCAAUAGCGUAUAUUAAAGUUGUUGCAGUUAAAAAGCUCGUAGUUGAAUUUCGGGAUUGACACAUCGGUCGUGCUCUAAGGGGUAUGAACUGGUGUAGUCAAUUUCUCACCUUCUGGAGAACCGCGAUGCCCUUUAUUGGGUGCCGUGGGAAACCAGGACCUUUACUUCGAAAAAAUUAGAGUGUUUAAAGCAGGCAUUUUUGCUUGAAUACAUUAGCAUGGAAUAAUAAAAUAGGACGGCAUGGUUCUAUUUUGUUGGUUUCUAGGACCAACGUAAUGAUUAAUAGGGAUAGUUGGGGGCAUUAGUAUUCAAUUGUAAGAGGUGAAAUUCUUGGAUUUAUUGAAGACUAACUACUGCGAAAGCAUUUGCCAAGGAUGUUUUCAUUAAUCAAGAACGAAAGUUAGGGGAUCGAAGACGAUCAGAUACCGUCGUAGUCUUAACCAUAAACUAUGCCGACUAGGAAUCAGACGAUGUUAAUUUUUUAAUGACUCGUUUGGCACCUUACG